AAGGGCGCAAGGCGGAUGCCUUGGCACCAGGAGGCGACGAAGGACGUGACAAGCAACGAAAACCUCGAGUAGGAGCAAAUAUCCAGUGACUCGGGGGAAUCCGAAUGGGGAAACCUACUAGACACACUCUAGUAUCC
RNAcentral lists this small RNA (137 nucleotides) under Finegoldia magna ATCC 53516. It matches the Rfam family "Bacterial large subunit ribosomal RNA", at positions 13 to 153 of the family's 2925-position model. The record is from RNAcentral. Lineage: Bacteria; Bacillati; Bacillota; Tissierellia; Tissierellales; Peptoniphilaceae.